AUGGUUGAAAUCAUGCCUACAUCUAUUAACCACAACCAGACAGUGAUCUUUUCCUCUUGCUUCAGGAUCUAGUAUCUCAUGCUUUUGAAUUACAGUUUAGAGUCUUUUAAUCACAAAGUUGUUUGUGGUUUCCCAUCUCCUCUCUGAUAGAUAUCAGUUCCAUUACCAUAUAAUGAGAAGCUAGUUUUGCAGUUAGCUCUGUGCUAAAGCAGAUUAUAUUUUCUGGCUCAGCUUCUAUAUAGGUAACACUUUAUAAUUAAAAUAGCAGUGCUAGUACUGUGCUCUUGUUCUGCAUUGUAACAGGAGUCAUGGCUGCAUGUAGGCAUAUUAAACACCUGUUGUUACAUUAGGCUAUGCUGUCAUAGCAAGAUCUAAGCAGAUCCAGGCUCUUCCCUUUCCGUCUUCAUGCUGUAUCAGCCUCAGAUGUUUGUUUGAUCCACUUGUAAAACAAGCUCUGCACUGUCUGCCUUUCUAGAGUGUUGUGAGGCUUAAUUAAUGUUUUGGGAUCACUUCAGUGCACAAGCAGUAAAAAGAUCUGUCUAAUUGUUAUGCAAAUGUACUUGUGUUUUGUUUUGGGUAAACCUUUCUAUUGGUCAUAUGAGUAAUCUCUAGACAAGAUGCGGCUGACUUUGGGGAAAGUCUAAAAACCUCAGUUGCUUUUUUUCCUUGAGCUAUAUCUCUGUUAGAGGGGCAAAAGGCUUCAGAGUUGUUAGUGACUGUGGCUUGGCUUCAGGAGUGGCAGAUAUUAUGAUACACAAUCUUUCUACAAGCUGUGUUGUCAUUGCUGUUUCUAAGUGUGUCUCCAUCUUGCAAAACAAAGUCAGGCCCUCUUUUAAACUCUGUUACUUUUUUAUCUGUAAGCCAAGUGUACGUGAAAAUAUAACUCAGUGCCAGAUAAGUGAAGGAUGACAGCACUUAAUUCCACAUUUGCAGAUCAACUGGAUUUGUGUAACUGAGCAUCUCUUUGCACUUUAAACUAUGUCCUGUGAGUGCAUCAUAAGUGUCCUGCUGGCAGGGGAAGGAUCCCACCAUGAAUUCUGCUACUUCUGACUCAGUCACAAAACUGCAGGCCCAUCGGUGUUUGCUCAGCAGGAUCAUUGUGUUUUAUUCAUCAGAAAUGUUUCAGGGCUGUUUUUUAGACCAGGAAUGUUUCCAUGCCAUGAUGGAAAACAAGCCCUUUCCCUGCAUUGGGAAUGCAGCCCUCAUGCAGCAGUGUGGGACUCAGGGCUUUACACAGCUAACAGCUGGAUUAAUCAGAUUUACCCAAGACAUCCUAUUCCCAUAGCACUGAUAUUGUUUGUGUGAGUAAAUGUCCACUGCCACAACAAAGGAGUGCAGAGAUGAACGCUGAUGUUGUGUGGGAAGGCCUGAUGAGGAGUGACUCUCACCUCUGAAGUCUGCAGGACAGCCUGUCACUCCACAAUGAUUAUUCCAGCCCUGUAUUUGAAGCAACACUUCUCUAUUUCAGUAUGUGGUACUACUACUAGCAUGUGAGUUCUUCCAAGGUCUUUUGUCUGCUCUUCUAGAAGACAGGACUGAAAGCAGUAUGAGAGAUCACAACAAACAACUUUGAACCUAGGCUGGAGAGGACACCACUGCAUACCACAGACACCUAGUUGAUGACUUCACUGCUUAGGGCAGAAAAUUUAAGCCAAAUCCAUUUUUCUGCAAAAUGCUGAUUGUUUUACCACAACAGACUAAAGAACAGUUACUUUAAAGGGAAAACAGAUAAACCCUCUCUCUGAAGACUCCUGUCCGCACAAGCCUGAUGUGAAGAUGUAUGUGAAAGCACUGUGCCCAUUGUUAUUACAAGGGUAUGUAAUGAUAGAACAAGGGGUAAUGUCUUUAAACUGAAAGAGAGCAGGUUUAGAUUUGAUAUUAAGAAGGAAUUCUCUUCUGUGAGGGUGGUGAGACACUGGCAUAGGUUGCCCAGAAAAGUUGUCAUUGCCCUAUCCCUAGAAAUGUUCAAGGCCAGGCUGGAUGGGGCUUUGAGUAACCUGAGGGGUCAACCUGCCCAUGGUAGGCGGGUUGGAACUAGAUGGUCUUGAAGGUCUCUUCUAACCCAAACCAUUCUAUGACUCUAUGAUUCUUUGAUUCUGUGAUUUUGUGAUUUCAGUUUCCACUGCAUCCUGAUCAUGGGCUUACACUCUCAGCUCUAAAUCCCCAGUGUUUUAUUUGGUUGCAGAUAUUCACCCACCUUGUUAGCAGAUGUGUCUUGCAGGUAAGGGAAGUACUACGUGUAUUUGCAUCCAUGCACAGUCCGAUCUAAGCAUAGAGCAACCUGUGAGCACUUUUUACAACCAGUGCAAGCAAGUGCAGAAGCUGUCUAUUUGCUCCUAAUCCUGCUAGCACAUAGGUGAGAAGGAGAUUUGAAGUUCGCUGAGAAGGGGCAGAUAAUAUGAGUAGCAGACCAGCCACACUGGGGACAGUAAUUCAGCUGUAACAGCCUAACAGAGCAGAGAAGUAAUGGUUUGGUAAGACUUGUAGAACAGCAGCCUAAAAGAAAAACUUCUACUCAACAUUAACACACCAGAUUUUAGUUUCAAACUGCAAGACAUGACUUAGGAGAAGCAGGCAUGUGGCUAACUAGUCAUUGCCUAUAGCAGUUCAAGGCUCAUAAGUCAGACAUAGCUAUUAAAAUGCAAUGUUUACCUUUUUUUUAAAAAAAGGGGUUUCUAGGGAGAUUAAUUUUCACUUCAACCUGACAAUCAUUUCAUAAACUUGCCAGUGUGAUAUAAGACAAACUGGAUCUGUUCUUCUCUGGAUUAUACAUUCGAUUUAUCUGCAGAUUUUCCACCUCACAGUUUAAACCAGUUUUUAUUGUUUUAGCAAAGAGGAUUUAACAACAAGGUUUAAUAUAAAUGCUGCUGGUGCCUGUGCAGAACUGAGAUUUUCUGCUAUGAAUGUACAUUUUUCAGGGAUAUAUAUAAUAUAGCUGAUGACUCAACUGUGAAUGGUGAUUUGGGAUUUGCAUCAUCUCUGCUGCUGGUGUAUUUCAUUAAAGCCACUAUGGUGAUGCACUGGUGAGAUGCGUGGAGCUGAGAUGAGACUCUUCAUUCCCAUAAAGAGUCUGAUAUUUUAGUGCCCGUGCUAAGCUUAGUAAAUCCUGUAAACUCUGGAAUUUCCUUUGUAGAUACAGUAGAUUAAUUAGACAGUAUCUUUUAAGGUUAAAUCCUGAAUCCUCUGCUGGACUGACAUGUAUAAUAAAUGCUCUUACACACUGGUUUUGAGCAACAAAUGCUUCUCCUUAAAGGGCUGGAUGAGUAUUUGUGAAGGUUUACUAUCCUGCUAGUUAUAUCACCCAUGUUGUAAGAAGGAUGGGAUCCAUUUUGGUACCAAGGAAUGCUGUGCACUUCCUCUGAUGUAUGAAUAUCUCCAGUCUUGCAGUAGAUCUCAAGGUUUGCUGUGCCUGAAGUGUUAUAUUCUCUAGAAGGAUCCUAUUUGUAAGAGAGAGAUGCUGGAUCUGUACUAAGGGCAGUAGAUCUGUCCCAUUAUUUCAUGGGCACAGAAAGAAAGCUGGAAAAAACCACUCAUCCCAAUUGUAGAUGACUUCUUAACAGAGCACUUGGAUAAGAGGGAAACCUAGUCCUAAUGCUUCAGGUAAACUGCUGUCAACUAAAGAGCAAACCAAGGAGGGCAGGAGAAUGCUAACAAUGAACGGGAUAAAAUAUUUUGAACCUGGGAACCAAGGGGAAGGAGAAGAUAUUCUUCUUGGCUUCUCAAUUUUAGAAAUUAAAAGCAAACCCCAUUUUCUAGAUGUACAUACAGUCUCUCCCUGGGGGUUGAGAGCUAAUAUAUGCAAAAGCCUUGCAUUUCCAUGCACAACUCAGUGCUAAAGCCCAGAAGAAAACUAGAAUACUUUAGCAAACAACUUGGAAAUAAGCAAUUUGUUUGAAAUAAAUCCUUUACUCUUUCAAGUUAACCCAUUUAAAAAAAAAUCUACUUCUCUUCUGCAGCUUUGGGAUUGGGAAUAGCUUUACGUGUUAACUCCUUUUCACCAAAAUACUUGAGUGUAGAGUUCUCCGUGUCAGCUGGAGCUUGAGAGCUCAUUGUUUAUAAAGGGAAAGAAGUAUUGUGCUACUAAGCAAGCAACUCCCAACACAUAUGUUCAGCUCUUCAUCUUCGAGAAGGAGACACUGAGGCUGCUGCGAGUGCAGAAGGACAGAGCUUUCACUGAGCUUCAGAUGUGACUGAGACCCUCUUCCAGGAUUUAUACGUUGAUGAAGCUCUGGGCUUAUUAACUAGCUUUUUCUGAAACAAGUAGCCUUAGCCCAUAUGUGCCAGGUUGUGAAACCCUUAAUCCCACUGAGUUUUUCUCUCCCUGUUUUCCUUCUGAUCAUUUGCAAGAACAAAUUUGAUGAAGCACAGUUGGUAAGAAAUAGUUCUAUUGGUCUGUGAUAGUUGAGUAGAAAAGUCAUAAUUGUGACAUCUUCCCUCAAACUUAUGUCCAAAAAAUAUAUUUUGAGUAGCCCAGCUGUAUUAGUUCCAUGAUGUGUAUAAGGGUUUGGUGUUUUUCAUGUUCUGUGAUUUUACAUUACUUAUGUAAAACUAAUUUCAUUUCAGAACCAAACAAACCAAACCAACCAACCAACGAAAAAAAAAUCACAAAAAACCCCAAACAGAAACAAACAAACAAAAAAAACCAAAACAAAACAAAAAAACCCCACAGUGCUCAGUGUCCCCAGAUUUACUUGGGAAAUGUUAGCAUGUCCAAAACAUGUCUGUUUUAAAAGAAUUCUUCCAAGAUGCUUAGAAUAAGGGCGGAAACCAUCUGGAAAAAACUUUCUAACAACAAGGCGUUUUUUGAGUUGGUGGUUUUUUUUCUUUCCAACCUUCAUAAGAGAAAAAAUACAGUUCAAAUUAAGCAAUAGUACCAGAGUCUGAGCUUCAACAAUUCAAUAUCUUCCUUUUAAAGCAAGGCAUUUCUCUUGGAUCAUGCCUGGGUUCAGAUGAUGUCUACGCUGUCAUCUGAACCUUCAAGGCAAUGUCUGGGGCAGGUCUAGCCUUGGGUUGCUGUCAGAAAGAAGACAUGAUCUAUUUUUCUCUCACUUUCGGUAAUUAUUUGUCACUCAACAGCCAUGUGAGAGUUUGAUGUGGUAAAUGGCCGAGAACUGGAGCCACUGGUAUGAGCGAAAAGACCUUAGCCUGUUAUCCUGCUAGUCAAAGUAAUCAAAAUCCAGUCACAGGAAGGAAGAUUAAACGCUUGCCAUCCUUAAAAUUUGAAAAAAGCAAGAAACUAAGGUCAACUCUCCAAUUUUUUUUUUUUGAAGAAAUGAACCUUGAAAGUAGUUAUUUCCAGUUAACAUGUAUAAUGUGAUAGAAAAAAUUAAUGUCCUCUCUUUUCUGUAGAUGCAGGUCUUGACUUUUUCACUUUUGACCUCAUUCUUCCCUCACUCUUCCCUGUCCCAAAAGAAAGAGAUCAGAAAUUUUUUUCUGAAUUUCCGACUCUAUGUAUAAUUAUAUAUAUUUUUUCCACUAGAGCUGAAAUAAAAAUAAUUUAUUAAAAAGGUGAUAUUUACUUUUUAUAUCUCUGUACAAUAUGCAAGAUAACCAUUUUGGAAAGUAUUAGCAUAAAUGUCCACAAUUUUGAGUACUCAAUGUUCUUUUCAGAGAUGCCUGUUUAUAUUAAUGUAAUUUCAAUCUGUUCUUACGUUUUUAUAGAUCAGUAUGUGAUACAAUUCUUUGAAGAGAAAUGUCUGCUUAGUUUCCAAGUGGAACAGAAAGCAAGAUUUGGUACUAAACUUCCACUUUUAAUUUUUUCAUCUAGGCUUGACUUUAAGAAAAAGAAUAGUGCUUAGUGGGUUCGUGUCUAUAACAAGUCAUACUCUUGUCUUAUGAAACAGCCUAUUUUGUAGCUUCAGCUUGCUGCCCCCCAGCACAACAGAGGAACUGUGUUUCACUGACUGGAAGGACUUAAAAUUGUUCACUGUUGUACCUGCGUGCCUCAUAAACCUUCAAAGAGUAAGCAAUAAGAUUUUUGACUCUGUUAGUUCCAAUAAAAUGAGGCAAAGAUUUUACCAGUUAUGUGUAUAAUAAGGCAGAGCUAGAAAAUUGAUCAUAAAAAAGGUUUGAGUUUUCAUUUUUCUAUUUUCCUGUGUUCUUCCUCUCUUUUUCGUGAGUCACGUGCAGAACUCUUUUCCCACAGUGUCCCUUCCUUAAUUAUACAGUGUUGUGAGAGUAUGUGCAAUACAUUGACUAAAAAAGGGCUCAGUCAGGGUAAAACUACAAACUUUAUCCCAUAUUCUUAGGGAGUUCCCCUACAAACCAGUGACUCAGCCUAAGAUUUGCAGAGUAAUAUGAAGAAUUCAGGUUCAUUGAGGUUUUGAUGCCCAACUGCGUUGUUUCUUUCCAAAAUCCCAUCUUCUUUUUUCCUACUGAUAAAACGGGGACAGUCACACCUGAAAAGAGUUUUACAAAUUUGCCUGGCAAAUAGUCCUUCAAGUUUGCUUAGUUAAAAUGCAAAAUCCUGGUUGCAGUGUGAAAAGGAUCCUAGUUCCCAAAAUACUCAACUGAAUUAGCCAUUUUAUCUUAAGCGAUACUGACAACUAAACUAUUUGGCUGCUGAGUUCUGUUGCUGUUCAGAUGUGAUUUUUACAUUCUGUUAUAUUAGCAGAACAUUUUAAUGUGAUUUUAUGUCUCAUUGUAUUUGAGAAAGCACCAUACAUUUGUACAUUAUGUAAAUGGCACUGUACUCUCAAGGUAUUUACUUUACAGGAAGCUUCAUGACUUUGGAAUAAACAACCAUUCCAAGACUGAGCAAAA
Long non-coding RNA from Neopelma chrysocephalum (saffron-crested tyrant-manakin), 6762 nucleotides. RefSeq lists it as uncharacterized. The record is from RefSeq and is a predicted model, not a curated record. Lineage: Eukaryota; Metazoa; Chordata; Aves; Passeriformes; Pipridae. The transcript is spliced from 2 exons.